RNAcentral lists this transfer RNA (62 nucleotides) under Ascaris suum (pig roundworm). RNAcentral describes it as "tRNA-Phe". The record is from RNAcentral. Lineage: Eukaryota; Metazoa; Nematoda; Chromadorea; Rhabditida; Ascarididae.
ACUCUGUUAGUUUAUGUUUUAAAAUAUGACUUUGAAGAAGUUGGGAAAUGUUAGGAGUGCCA